UCGACCAAACUCGUCCUACCAC
This 22-nucleotide non-coding RNA is filed under the name Arabidopsis thaliana (thale cress). The record is from RNAcentral. Lineage: Eukaryota; Viridiplantae; Streptophyta; Magnoliopsida; Brassicales; Brassicaceae.